Mustela lutreola (European mink) is the source of this 1414-nucleotide long non-coding RNA. RefSeq lists it as uncharacterized. The record is from RefSeq and is a predicted model, not a curated record. The transcript has 3 exons. NCBI's taxonomy places the organism in Eukaryota, Metazoa, Chordata, Mammalia, Carnivora, Mustelidae.
AGCAAUGACAGAACUCACCUCGGCCUUGUCAGUCAAAGGUUGUCAUCAUGACCACAGAGGCCACGUCAGAGUCAUUUCCAAGUAACUCCUAUGGUUCUAAAAGGUCCUCCCUUGUGACACUUGGAAAAGGAGUCCAAAAGGCAUCCAGCCUGCAAUGACUCCGAUGACCCUGGUGUUUAUUUGCAAGCUAGUCCACGGCCAGGGCGCUCACCUGUUGGCUUCCUUUCAACACGAUGUCCUGAAUGCCCACCACAGGCCAAGUAUUGCUGUAAGGCCCUGGAGAUCCUACGGUGUCCCAGAUGUAUAGUCGUGACUUCUAGAAACACCCGCUCCACUGGAGGAUAAGGACUGGCUGACAGAAAGCCAGUACACUCUAGGAAACUAUGCAAUGGUGGCCAAGCACAGGUGGGUUUUUAAGCAAAUACCCACGUGGCUGUGCUUUAGCUGCACAGCAACUCUCUCUCUGAUCCUUCACCCAUCGGGGGUCAGCAAAUUCUUGGGAGAAUGAAAAGCCAGUUCACCAUGGGCUAAAACCAGUCCAAGCUCUUCUUAUUUGUAGGACACAUUCCAAAGCCAAUCAUCAAGUAUGUUUGGACUUUCUGCUUUGGAGGGUGAUCUGCUCAUCAGUUCUCUGCACAGACAGACGGCAUGAGAUUGCCCAUACUUCAGAUGUUUUACAAAAUAUCAUCCCAGUUUUUGAAAAGGAAGUGAAAACCUACUUGGGCAAAGAAAAGAGGGUAAGUCAAGUGUUUCUAAUUGACCAGCGUUGAGAAACGGGCUCAGGAGAGAGAUAUGAUUAAAUUCAGACUCGUCUUGACCUGAAAUAUAUUUGCUUCCCUAUGAUUUACCAAAAAAGUGAAAGAAAACAAGAGGAGGAAGGAAGGAAGGAAGAAAAGAACUCAAAACCACAAUUGGAUUUUCAAAAUCAACCCACACAGAUACUCCUGCUUGAAGAUGUCCUUUACAGUGUUACUUAGGAUACAAGAAACUGGAAAUAUCUUAAAAGUCCAUUAACAGGAAAAUGUUCUUGGAUGAAUCCUCUGAGUCUUUCUUAACACAGCAUUCCCUCUAGCCACUACCAAUCAACUGGAACUGGGAAGCUGGUCUGACAAACGGACCAGGUAAGACUAUUUGAGCAAGCAGCAGAAGCUGACUCUAAGUAACCUAAGCCCAACAAGACUCCAUUGAAAGAAUAUGGGAGAACACAAGAGGAUUGAAGGGAAUGUUCAGGAACCAGGAAUUUCCGAUGGCCUUAAGCACAGAAAGGACCGUCGGAUUUCUCUAUCACAGCAGUGUCUGGAAUUAGCCCUACAGGAACAGAGAUGACACAUAAUGCUAUAUGCUCCCAUGGGGGCCUGGAAUCUGAUUGCAACAUCUAGAAAUAUCUGCAUGAUCAAUUGGAGUGACUGGAUUC